Molecule: ribosomal RNA, 253 nt
Filed under: uncultured bacterium
Lineage: Bacteria
Description: partial 16S ribosomal RNA
Rfam family: Bacterial small subunit ribosomal RNA
Source: RNAcentral
UACGGGGGGGGCAAGCGUUGUUCGGAAUUACUGGGCGUAAAGGGCGCGUAGGCGGUCAGAUAAGUCAGCUGUGAAAACCUCGGGCUUAACCCGAGGCCUGCAGUUGAAACUGUUUGGCUGGAGCGUGGGAGAGGAGAGUGGAAUUCCUGGUGUAGCGGUGAAAUGCGCAGAUAUCAGGAGGAACACCUAUUGCGAAGGCAGCUCGCUGGGACGUAACUGACGCUGAGACGCGAAAGCGUGGGGAGCAAACAGG